ACAAUAAAGACUUAGUCCUGGACUUUUUAUUAGCUAUCACCCAACUUAUACAUGCAAGCAUCUGCGAACCCGUGAGAACGCCCUACACAGUCCCACAGACAAAUGGAGCCGGCAUCAGGCACAUCAACUAAUAGCCCACGACGCCUAGCCAAGCCACACCCCCAAGGGCCACAGCAGUAAUUAACCUUAAACCAUAAGCGAAAGCUUGAUUUGGUUAGAAUGAAAUAGAGGUGGUCAACAUUCGUGCCAGCAGCCGCGGUUAAACGGAGGCCUCAGGUUAAUAAGCCAAAGGCGUAAAUUGUGGCUAGGUCUAAUAUCUCCACCAUUAAGGCAGAUGUGGCCCCAUAGCAGUAACAAGCCCCACAAUGCCACAAACAUCAACACAAAACGACCUUAAUCCCUGAGACAUACCCGACCCCACGAAAGCUAAGAAACAAACUGGGAUUAGAUACCCCACUAUGCUUAGCCCUUAACAAAAGUGUACCCCAACACACUUACACCCGCCAGAAGACUACGAGCCCAGCUUAAAACUCAAAGGACUUGAUGGUGCUUCGAACCCACCUAGAGGAGCCUGUCCUAUAAUUGAAGAUACACGAUUCACCUAACCCCUCCUUGCCUCUCAGUCUGUAUACCGCCGUCGCCAAACUCGUCCCACUGAGGGAAACAAAACAAGUGCAACAGCCUCCCAGGCUAAUACGUCAGGUCAAGGUGCAGCUAAUGGAGCGGAAGAGAUGUGCUACAUUUUCUAAAAUAGAAAUACGUAACAGAACGCCCUCUGAAAACAGGGCUGUCAAAGCAGAAUCUAGCAGUAAGUUAGGAAAGAGCGCCUAACUGAAGAAGGCCCCGAAGUACGUACAUACCGCCCGUCGCCCUCUUCAAACCCAACAAAAAGUGCCAUCAUACCUCAUGAUAAACACUACACGCGUGAGACGGGGCAAGUCGUAACAAGGUAAGCGUACCGGAAGGUGCUCUUGGAACAU
Molecule: non-coding RNA, 980 nt
Filed under: Paleosuchus palpebrosus (Cuvier's dwarf caiman)
Lineage: Eukaryota; Metazoa; Chordata; Crocodylia; Alligatoridae
Description: 12S ribosomal RNA
Rfam family: Bacterial small subunit ribosomal RNA
Source: RNAcentral